Molecule: unclassified non-coding RNA, 212 nt
Filed under: Glomeraceae sp.
Lineage: Eukaryota; Fungi; Glomeromycota; Glomeromycetes; Glomerales; Glomeraceae
Description: partial contains 5.8S ribosomal RNA and internal transcribed spacer 2
Rfam family: 5.8S ribosomal RNA (bases 1-71)
Source: RNAcentral
GUGAAUCAUCGAAUCUUUGAACGCAAAUUGCGCUCUCGGGUAUUCCCGGGAGUAUGCCUGUUUGAGGGUCAGUGUAAAUAAAAAUCGGUGUAGUUGCUGCCUUGCGUGGUGACGCAUCGGCUUGGGGUCGUCUGGCCUUCGGGUAUGUGACCUAAAAUUGUGCAUGAAUUUUUUGAACGUAGUUAAGUGAUUUUAGGUACGUUUGCGAUGUC